AUUGAACGCUGGCGGCAUGCCUUACACAUGCAAGUCGAACGGAUCUAGGGGCUUGCUCCUAGGUUAGUGGCGAACGGGUGAGUAAUGCAUCGGAACGUACCCAGUCGUGGGGGAUAACGUAGCGAAAGUUACGCUAAUACCGCAUACGUCCUGAGGGAGAAAAGCAGGGGAUCGCAAGACCUUGCGCGAUUGGAGCGGCCGAUGUCGGAUUAGCUAGUUGGUGGGGGUAAAAGCCUACCAAGGCAACGAUCCGUAGCUGGUCUGAGAGGAUGAUCAGCCACACUGGGACUGAGACACGGGACCCAGACUCCUACGGGAGGCAGC
Molecule: ribosomal RNA, 324 nt
Filed under: uncultured bacterium
Lineage: Bacteria
Description: bacterial SSU rRNA
Rfam family: Bacterial small subunit ribosomal RNA
Source: RNAcentral